This is a long non-coding RNA of Bicyclus anynana (squinting bush brown), 460 nucleotides long. RefSeq lists it as uncharacterized. The transcript is spliced from 2 exons. NCBI's taxonomy places the organism in Eukaryota, Metazoa, Arthropoda, Insecta, Lepidoptera, Nymphalidae. The record is from RefSeq and is a predicted model, not a curated record.
AUAUGGGUUGAUAAUGAUGACACCAUCGGGUUCCGUACGCACCAUCUGUAUAUUAUUGAUUAAUCUGUGGCUAUAGCAUAUUUAAUUUUAACUCAUAUUUUUCCUCUGCAAGUGCGAUAAGCGUCCGGAUUUUCAAUAUAAACAGACGGCAAACAGGAAUAUCGUUCAUACGCAGCUCCGGGAGCGAUCAGCGAGCGUAGUGUUUUUGAAACGGACCUUUCUCUACAUAAAUACAUAAUCGAAUAAUGUCCGACUGCGACCGCAUCGUCUUCCCGGACGAAGUUGAACAAAUCAAGGCUCAAAUAGCCGCGGAGAACAAAGCAUCAGCAAGGCAGCAAUCAAUAGAUGACCCAGAAAUAGUGCUUGAACAUUUCGUUAAAGUGCCGCCAAAUCUUAUGACCUCACCAUCAGACGACAAAAUGGAUGCUAUCGUUUUCAAAUAAAUUAAAUUAUACCAUAA